GGUGUAGCGCAGUUGGUAGCGCGCCUGCUUUGGGAGCAGGAUGUCGGGGGUUCGAGUCCCUUCACU
Molecule: transfer RNA, 66 nt
Filed under: human gut metagenome
Rfam family: tRNA
About the family: Transfer RNA (tRNA) molecules are approximately 80 nucleotides in length. Their secondary structure includes four short double-helical elements and three loops (D, anti-codon, and T loops).
Source: RNAcentral